GCCUGCUUGGCCCAAUGGUUAAGGCGUCCGCUUCCUAAGCGGGAGAUUCUGGGUUCGAGUCCCAGGGUGGGUU
RNAcentral lists this transfer RNA (73 nucleotides) under Kwoniella heveanensis BCC8398. RNAcentral's name for it is "tRNA-Arg (CCT) (tRNA-Arg-CCT-1-1)". It matches the Rfam family "tRNA". From Rfam's summary of the family: Transfer RNA (tRNA) molecules are approximately 80 nucleotides in length. Their secondary structure includes four short double-helical elements and three loops (D, anti-codon, and T loops). Lineage: Eukaryota; Fungi; Basidiomycota; Tremellomycetes; Tremellales; Cryptococcaceae. The record is from RNAcentral.